RNAcentral lists this ribosomal RNA (253 nucleotides) under uncultured bacterium. RNAcentral's name for it is "partial 16S ribosomal RNA". It matches the Rfam family "Bacterial small subunit ribosomal RNA", at positions 524 to 776 of the family's 1533-position model. The record is from RNAcentral.
UACGUAGGUGGCAAGCGUUGUCCGGAUUUAUUGGGUUUAAAGGGUGCGUAGGCGGUCUAUUAAGUCAGUUGUGAAAUACGGCAGCUCAACUGUCGAGGUGCAAUUGAUACUGAUGGACUUGAGUACUGAUGAGGUAAGCGGAAUUCCCGGUGUAGUGGUGGAAUGCGUAGAUAUCGGGAGGAACACCAGUGGCGAAGGCGGCUUCCUGGACCUGUUCUGACACUGAGGAGCGAAAGCGUGGGGAGCGAUCCGG